UAAUGAUAGUGGUGGUGAUGGUGGUAGUGGUAAUGAUGAUGAUGAUGAUGAUCGUCGUCAACAAUAUCGUCAUUAUCGUCAUCACUCAUCCUAU
RNAcentral lists this microRNA precursor (94 nucleotides) under Loa loa (African eye worm). Its description in RNAcentral is "microRNA mir-598". Lineage: Eukaryota; Metazoa; Nematoda; Chromadorea; Rhabditida; Onchocercidae. The record is from RNAcentral.